AUACAGAGGGUGCGAGCGUUAAUCGGAAUUACUGGGCGUAAAGCGCGCGUAGGCGGCUUAUUAAGUCAGAUGUGAAAUCCCCGGGCUCAACCUGGGAACUGCAUCUGAUACUGGUAAGCUAGAGUUUUGGAGAGGGAAGUGGAAUUUCAGGUGUAGCGGUGAAAUGCAUAGAGAUCUGAAGGAAUACCAGUGGCGAAGGCGACUUCCUGGCCAAAAACUGACGCUGAGGUGCGAAAGCGUGGGUAGCAAACGGGAUUAGAAACCCUAGUAGUCC
This 274-nucleotide ribosomal RNA is filed under the name uncultured bacterium. RNAcentral's name for it is "partial 16S ribosomal RNA". It matches the Rfam family "Bacterial small subunit ribosomal RNA", at positions 523 to 796 of the family's 1533-position model. The record is from RNAcentral.